UACGUAGGGAGCAAGCGUUGUUCGGAUUUACUGGGCGUAAAGGGCGCGUAGGCGGCGCGGUAAGUCACUUGUGAAAUCUCUGAGCUUAACUCGGAACGGCCAAGUGAUACUGCAGUGCUAGAGUGCAGAAGGGGCAAUCGGAAUUCUUGGUGUAGCGGUGAAAUGCGUAGAUAUCAAGAGGAACACCUGAGGUGAAGACGGGUUGCUAGGCUGACACUGACGCUGAGGCGCGAAAGCCAGGGGAGCAAACGGG
RNAcentral lists this ribosomal RNA (253 nucleotides) under uncultured bacterium. RNAcentral's name for it is "partial 16S ribosomal RNA". It matches the Rfam family "Bacterial small subunit ribosomal RNA", at positions 524 to 776 of the family's 1533-position model. The record is from RNAcentral.